RNAcentral lists this ribosomal RNA (1000 nucleotides) under Bacillus cereus. RNAcentral describes it as "bacterial SSU rRNA". It matches the Rfam family "Bacterial small subunit ribosomal RNA", at positions 81 to 1056 of the family's 1533-position model. Lineage: Bacteria; Bacillati; Bacillota; Bacilli; Caryophanales; Bacillaceae. The record is from RNAcentral.
CUCUUAUGAAGUUAGCGGCGGACGGGUGAGUAACACGUGGGUAACCUGCCCAUAAGACUGGGAUAACUCCGGGAAACCGGGGCUAAUACCGGAUAACAUUUUGAACCGCAUGGUUCGAAAUUGAAAGGCGGCUUCGGCUGUCACUUAUGGAUGGACCCGCGUCGCAUUAGCUAGUUGGUGAGGUAACGGCUCACCAAGGCAACGAUGCGUAGCCCGACCUGAGAGGGUGAUCGGCCACACUGGGACUGAGACACGGCCCAGACUCCUACGGGAGGCAGCAGUAGGGAAUCUUCCGCAAUGGACGAAAGUCUGACGGAGCAACGCCGCGUGAGUGAUGAAGGCUUUCGGGUCGUAAAACUCUGUUGUUAGGGAAGAACAAGUGCUAGUUGAAUAAGCUGGCACCUUGACGGUACCUAACCAGAAAGCCACGGCUAACUACGUGCCAGCAGCCGCGGUAAUACGUAGGUGGCAAGCGUUAUCCGGAAUUAUUGGGCGUAAAGCGCGCGCAGGUGGUUUCUUAAGUCUGAUGUGGAAAGCCCACGGCUCAACCGUGGAGGGUCAUUGGAUACUGGGAGACUUGAGUGCAGAAGAGGAAAGUGGGAUUCCAUGUGUAGCGGUGCAAUGCGUAGAGAUAUGGAGGCACACCAGUGGCGAAGGCGACUUUCUGGUCUGUCACUGACACUGACGCGCGAAAUGCGUGGGGAGCUAGUACAGGAUUAGAUACCCUGGUAGUCCACGCCGUAAACGAUGAGUGCUAAGUGUUAGAGGGUUUCCGCCCUUUAGUGCUGAAGUUGACGCAUUAAGCACUCCGCCUGGGGAGUACGGCCGCAAGGCUGAAACUCAAAGGAAUUGACGGGGGCCCGCACAAGCGGUGGAGCAUGUGGUUUAAUUCGAAGCCACGCGAAGAACCUUACCAGGUCAUUGACAUCCUCUGACAACCCUAGAGAUAGGGCUUCUCCUUCGGUGAGCAGAAGUGACAUGGUGGUGCAUGGUUGUCGUC